UACGAAGGGGGCUAGCGUUGCUCGGAAUCACUGGGCGUAAAGGGUGCGUAGGCGGGUCUUUAAGUCAGGGGUGAAAUCCUGGAGCUCAACUCCAGAACUGCCUUUGAUACUGAGGAUCUUGAGUACGGGAGAGGUGAGUGGAACUGCGAGUGUAGAGGUGAAAUUCGUAGAUAUUCGCAAGAACACCAGUGGCGAAGGCGGCUCACUGGACUGGUAUUGACGCUGAGGUGCGAAAGCGUGGGGAGCAAACAGG
RNAcentral lists this ribosomal RNA (253 nucleotides) under uncultured bacterium. Its description in RNAcentral is "partial 16S ribosomal RNA". It matches the Rfam family "Bacterial small subunit ribosomal RNA", at positions 524 to 776 of the family's 1533-position model. The record is from RNAcentral.